GCCCGUGCUGCCAACGUAGCCCGCGCCGCCGCCUCCAACCGUGCGGCUCGGGCCGCUGCCGCCGCUGCCCGUACCGCCUUCAGUCAGGUGGUCGCUAGCCACCGGGUGGCCACGCCGCAGGUCUCAGGAGAGGAUACCCAGCCCACGACCUACGCCGCCGAGGCUCAGGGGCCCACCCCUGAGCCACCCCUUGCUUCUCCGCAGACCUCCCAGAUGCUCCGUGUGCCAGGGAGGUGGACGCCAACCGGCCCAGCACAGCCUUCCUGGGCCAGAAUGAUGUCUUUGAUUUCACUCAGCCGGCAGGUGUCAGUGGCAUGGCCUUCCCGCGCCCCAAGAGACCUGCCCCAGCCCAAGAGGCUGCCACAGAGGGCCCCAGUGCUGCCUCUGGUGUGCCCCAGACGGGACCUGGCAGGGAGGUGGCAGCCACCCGGCCCAAGACCACCAAGUCGGGGAAGGCGCUGGCCAAGACUCGGUGGGUGGAGC
RNAcentral lists this small RNA (483 nucleotides) under Pan troglodytes (chimpanzee). RNAcentral describes it as "processed transcript". The record is from RNAcentral. Lineage: Eukaryota; Metazoa; Chordata; Mammalia; Primates; Hominidae.